UACGUAGGGACCGAGCGUUGUCCGGAAUCAUUGGGCGUAAAGAGCGUGUAGGCGGCCUGUUAAGUCUUGCGUGAAAUCUCGGGGCUCAACCCCGAGCGGUCGUGAGAAACUGGCAGGCUAGAGUGCGGGAGAGGAGAGUGGAAUUCCUGGUGUAGCGGUGAAAUGCGCAGAUAUCAGGAAGAACACCCGUGGCGAAGGCGGCUCUCUGGAACGCAACUGACGCUGAGACGCGAAAGCGUGGGGAGCGAACAGG
Molecule: ribosomal RNA, 253 nt
Filed under: uncultured bacterium
Lineage: Bacteria
Description: partial 16S ribosomal RNA
Rfam family: Bacterial small subunit ribosomal RNA
Source: RNAcentral